GUUGAAAGUAAUUGGUUCUGCAGCCGGGUGCGUUCUGCAUGGAAGAAAUAAAUUUAAGAUUUUCUUCCACUUAGUAGUGAACAUGAUCCGACGAACAUCCUCUGGUCCAAAAAGGAUACCGAAAUGUGGAAAGUUUGUCGGAACUGCAAAUACAGGAUUUGCGAGCUUACUUAUAAGCCCGUUUAGCUGGACUGGAUUCUACCUAAUGUGACUGGAGCUGGCUUCGGGUUUUACGACUCAGCUGGAGCAACCGAAUAUACCCAUAGCUGGUAGUGAUGCAGCGGAAAAGUGAAAACAGCAGCUAGAAUAUCAAGUUCUUUUCCAUGAUCUGGAUGCCAGUUGCCAUUUAGGAAUCCUAAUCCGACGAACAUCCUUUGGUCCAGUAAGGAUGCCGAAAUCUGAGGAUCCUCAGAUAAUCGGGAGCUGAAUAUUAAUCCGACCAGGUGCUGCGCAAUUGUUCCACCAUGAUAUUUUGAUGGUACGCGGUAAUUUUCCGUACUAUCUGGGGGGUCAGACUGCCGGAAAAUCAUCAUCCGGCUGUGGAGUGUUGGAAACACCUCCUGAACAACGGAAUUGUGCUGUUGGUGCUGAUCAUCCCGCUAGGAGCUCAACAGAACCCCCUCAACCCUCAAAACAUUCUACUUGAACUUCUUCCGGAAAAGCAUUUACCGGUCCUUAUCGUUCCUGGCUAUGUUUUGCGAUCCCGGAUCCUAUUUUUCCGAAUCACAAGCAGAGCCGAAGGAUCGGGACUUCCACCGGGACAGUGAAAGCACAGAGAAGUGAAAGUGUGAC
Uranotaenia lowii is the source of this 792-nucleotide long non-coding RNA. RefSeq lists it as uncharacterized. NCBI's taxonomy places the organism in Eukaryota, Metazoa, Arthropoda, Insecta, Diptera, Culicidae. The transcript is spliced from 3 exons. The record is from RefSeq and is a predicted model, not a curated record.